GCCCAGACCUACAGCUAAGGUCCCAAAGUACGUGUUAAGUGGAAAAGGAUGUGGGGAUUCUAAGACAACUAGGACGUUGGCUUAGAAGCAGCCAUUCAUUGAAAGAGUGCGUAAUAGCUCACUAGUCGAGAGUCCCUGCGCCGAAAAUGUCCGGGGCUGAAACACGACACCGAAGCUUAGGAAUGUGUAAACAUUGGUAGAGGAGCAUUGUUAGCGGGAUGAAGCCAUACCGUAAGGAGUGGUGGACUGCUAAGAAGAGAGAAUGCCGGAAUGAGUAGCGAGAUGAAGGUGAGAAUCCUUCAGGCCGAAUAUCUAAGGUUUCCAGAGUAAAGCUGAUCUGCUCUGGGUAAGUCGGGACCUAAGGCGAGGUCGAAAGACGUAGUCGAUGGAUAACAGGUUGAAAUUCCUGUACUAUCCUGUAACAGAACUGUGGGGACGCAGACAGAGAGCACAAGCCGGGAAUGGAAAGACCGGUGCAAGCGAGGUAGGAGUACAUCAGGCAAAUCCGGUGUGCAAUCCGAAGACGUGAUGCGGAUCGAAAAGAAGUAGAGAAGUGUGUGAGCUGGCUGCCAAGAAAAGCCGCUAUUGUUUACAGGAUACCCGUACCGUAAACCGACACAGGUGGAUGAGGAGAGAAUCCUAAGGCCGACGGGAGAAGCAUUGUUAAGGAACUCGGCAAAAUGACUCCGUAACUUCGGGAGAAGGAGUGCCAUGUAAAAGUGGCCGCAGAGAAUUGGCCCAAGCAACUGUUUAGCAAAAACACAGGUCUAUGCAAAACCGUAAGGUGAAGUAUAUGGGCUGACGCCUGCCCGGUGCUGGAAGGUUAAGGGGAGAGGUUAGCGCAAGCGAAGCUUUGAACUUAAGCCCCAGUAAACGGCGGCCGUAACUAUAACGGUCCUAAGGUAGCGAAAUUCCUUGUCGGGUAAGUUCCGACCCGCACGAAAGGCGUAAUGAUUUGGGCACUGUCUCAACGAUACACCCGGUGAAAUUGAAAUACCAGUGAAGAUGCUGGUUACCUGCGCCAGGACGGAAAGACCCCAUGGAGCUUUACUCCAGUUUGAUACUGGGAUUCGGCAUGGUAUGUACAGGAUAGGUGGGAGACUGAGAAGGUAUGACGUCAGUUGUACCGGAGUCGCUGUUGGGAUACCACCCUUACCAUGUUGGAUUUCUAACCUGUGGCCGUAAGCCGGUCAGGGGACAAUGUCAGGCGGGGAGUUUGACUGGGGCGGUCGCCUCCGAAAGGGUAUCGGAGGCGCUCAAAGGUUCCCUCAGAAUGGUUGGAAACCAUUCGAAGAGUGCAAAGGCAGAAGGGAGCUUGACUGUGACACCGACGGGUGGAGCAGGUACGAAAGUAGGACUUAGUGAUCCGGUGGUAUAA
This 1378-nucleotide ribosomal RNA is filed under the name human gut metagenome. Its description in RNAcentral is "bacterial LSU rRNA". It matches the Rfam family "Bacterial large subunit ribosomal RNA", at positions 1025 to 2431 of the family's 2925-position model. The record is from RNAcentral.